GGGACUANGUNGCAUACUUAGUUCAGUGGCGCACGGGUGCGUAACGCGUAUGCAACCUACCUUAAACUGGGGGAUAGCCUUCCGAAAGGGAGAUUAAUACCGCAUAAUACUAUUUGAGGGCAUCUGAGGAUAGUUAAAGAUUUAUUGGUUUAAGAUGGGCAUGCGUGCCAUUAGCUAGUUGGUAGGGUAACGGCCUACCAAGGCGACGAUGGCUAGGGGUUCUGAGAGGAUGAUCCCCCACACUGGCACUGAGAUACGGGCCAGACUCCUACGGGAGGCAGCAGUAGGGAAUAUUGGGCAAUGGGCGAAAGCCUGACCCAGCCAUGCCGCGUGCAGGAAGAAGGCCUUCUGGGUUGUAAACUGCUUUUAUCUGGGAAGAAAAAGCCCCUGCGGGGGAAACUGACGGUACCAGAGGAAUAAGCACCGGCUAACUCCGUGCCAGCAGCCGCGGUAAUACGGAGGGUGCAAGCGUUGUCCGGAUUUAUUGGGUUUAAAGGGUGCGUANGCGGCCCGGUAAGUCAGUGGUGAAAACCUCCAGCUCAACUGGAGAACUGCCAUUGAUACUGCCGGGCUUGAG
This 577-nucleotide ribosomal RNA is filed under the name uncultured Marivirga sp. RNAcentral's name for it is "bacterial SSU rRNA". It matches the Rfam family "Bacterial small subunit ribosomal RNA", at positions 68 to 646 of the family's 1533-position model. The record is from RNAcentral. Lineage: Bacteria; Pseudomonadati; Bacteroidota; Cytophagia; Cytophagales; Marivirgaceae.